CUGCGCUCGCCAUGACGUAAUACACGUCGCCUGCGCAUUGGCUCCAGCGCAUGCUUAGUUGUCAAUUCUGAAGGCGCACUCGCCCAGGGGUUGGGAAUUGCCCGGCCAUUUUCUUUUGGUCGGACGUGAUGUCACGUAGCGAUUUCCCAGAAUCAGAGGAACUCCUCAAUUUCCUGUCCCCCAGCGUGCCCCCCAUUUUGGCCUCCGACUGGGAGCAAUUUGGAGGGGAGUUAGGUCUAUUGUUGCCAGCAGGACUCUGAUAUCUAGGCGGGGGAAUGUCUUAAAACUUUUGGAGGGAACUGGCAGUGGGAUUUGGCGGGGAUAGAGACACUGGUUUCCCACUCGGCUUGCUCCCCUAACUUCCCUCCUUCAACCCUUAAACUUUUCUCUUUGUGGCAGUCUUUCUCUGUCCCUGAGCUCCUUGCUGUACUCGCCCACUAUUUUUCGUUCUCGGCCCCUGAGAGCCCUUGCAUUGGAUAAAUGCAGUUAUUUCACAGAUUCUGGAAGUUGGCGCCAGUCUCCAGUUAAAGCUGCGAAGCUUAAGGGUCUUCGUAACAAAAGGAACCACCAAGCUCUCGGUCCUGGAUGAAGCCUGCAAACAUCUGAGUUUCCAUGAAGAGAUCCAGGAAGUGGCGUACACUUCGGGAGGUGUGGGAUUUACGGAAUGGUUCCCUUUGGAAUACACGCUCCCCACGCUCAGUGACAGUCAUGCUCAAAGAAUAAUGUCCCACCAGCUCCACGAAAAACCUCACAAAUGCCUCGGACACCAGAGAGUUGAGUGUCACGUCUGCUGCAAAAUGAAAGAUAAAUAAGGAAGAAAGAAAAGAAAAACCCUAAGUUUUGUGUUUAUGGGAAAUGGUUAUGAAAGUCGUGUACAGGAAAUCCUAGAUCAAAGGACUGAGAAUCCCGAUUCUUGGCUCUCUUGCACACUCCAUGACCUGCACAAAGUCAGUGGCUUAUAUUUUUAGUUUCAUUUUCUUCCCACACAUACUCUUGUUACAUCUUUCAGCCUGGCUUGCAUAUCCGUGAUCUCACUGUAACUGCUCUUUCAAAGGCCACCAGUGAGAACCAGCCAAAUUUAAUCUGCUUCACUAUUCGUCUCUCCUUUAAACUCUGCUGCAUUUAUGUGAACCCCCUCCUCAUUCCUCCUCUUGCCUCCCACAACUUUAUAUUCUCCUGAUUUUUUGGAUCCCUCUCCUGCUUUUAUGACCAAGCAUUUGUUUUUCUCUUGCCUCUUCUUCCUCUCCCUAAGCAUGGUCCUCAGACCACCUCUCUUCAGCAUUCCCACCCUUAAAGAGCUAACUGGCAUAGAGAUAGAGCUGGCUUUCCAUGUUGAUAAUUCUCAACCUUACAUCUCUAGCCCUGAUAUGUCACCAGAACUCAGGUUACCUACCUAUCAUUACCAUGAUGGGUAAUCAUCAUUUGGUUGUCCCAUUACCACUUAAAUUCUAUCUGUCUAAAAGUCAAAUCAGGUCCUUUUGAGAAAUUGGUAAAAUACACAUGUUCAAAAUCAAAUUCAUUCUAUUUUUCCACCAAAUCAGUUUCUCUCUCAACUUCCCCAUUUCAUACUAUAACCAUUAUUAUUCUAGAAUAAUUUGAGUGCUUAAGAUAUGUCAAGCACUGUAUUUAGAGCUUUUGUAAGUGUAAUGAUACAGUGGUCCAGGUAUUAUUUCCUUUUUACAGCUGAGGGUAAUGAGGCUCAAAACAAAGACAUUCUCCAGGGUCAUCUCAUCUAUUACAGGGAGAAGUUGCCAGACUCCCAAGUCAGGUAAUUCUUAACCACUGUAACAUGAAAUAUAUUGCCUUUCAGGUUCCAGGCUCAAACCUCAGAUUCAACUUAAACUCCUCCUUUUUCUUCCAUAUCUAGUAGUAUUUUUUCCCCCCUUCAUGAUAUCUCUUGCUCUUUCCAUUAGCUCCGUGCUGGGCUGGGAAUCGGGCCUAGGUUUGGUCAGAGUUGUACCAUGAAACAGCAGUAUAAUGGGAGGCAAGUUGCUUUACACCUGCACCCCCCCACCCCACGGCCUCUCUUUCCAUAUCUGUGCAAUGAGGUGGCUGAUGAGGUGACCACUAAUGUCUCUUCUGGCAUUACAGUGAUUAUAAAGUACAUUUUUAAAAUAUUUUGUUCAACAGACAUCCUUCUCCUCUCUUUCCUUCUGUAGCUGAGAAUCCAUGAUCCAUCACUGCUUUUAUUGUCAACACCUGUGCCCCAGUCUCCCACCCCUUCCAGUUACUGUCCCAUUUCUCUUCUACUUUACAGCAAAACUUUUCAAGAGUUGUUUAUACCUGUUGUACCCUUUCUUAAUCUAAUUCCCUUUGUUCUAAAAAUUAUGCAUUUCUAUAACUUAUCUUCAA
This is a long non-coding RNA of Panthera uncia (snow leopard), 2352 nucleotides long. RefSeq lists it as uncharacterized. Lineage: Eukaryota; Metazoa; Chordata; Mammalia; Carnivora; Felidae. The record is from RefSeq and is a predicted model, not a curated record. The transcript has 2 exons.